ACAAUAGUGAACACUUUCCCUAUGAUCCAAUAGGAAAGACAGAAAUCAUCUGACAUGAACAUGGAAAACCGCACCCUAUGGCCAAGCAAGGAACUGUGGUCUCUGGGUGCCCAGUGCUCUCUUCAGAGAAACAGGGAAACUGCUGCGGAUGCAGGGUCAAGAUCCCCUCAGAUGCUCCCUUUCAUGUGCUGAAGUGUUAGUUGUGGCCCCAUUAACACUCUGUGAUGGGCGCCUUGGAGGAGCGGAGAGAGAAGCCCAGCUGAGUGGCACAGUACUUAAGAAUCUGCUGCUCAACCACCUGUUCAUGUUUAUUAAUGUGAGAACCAUGUUCCUGUCAUCAGCAGAUUUCUUUUUUUGGCUGUUGUAUUACGCCAAACACAUAGGAUGACCAGCUUCAGAAAGAGUGUAGCACUGGGCAUAAAGAUCCCAGGACAGUGUCUGGACAGCUUCUUCUGCCAAAGCCAUGCAUUCCUCAUGAUCAUAAGUUCGCUAAAUCGAGGUAACUUCUGGCUUUCAUCCUUCAGCUAUGGAGUUUUCAAAUUGCUC
Molecule: long non-coding RNA, 546 nt
Filed under: Chinchilla lanigera (long-tailed chinchilla)
Lineage: Eukaryota; Metazoa; Chordata; Mammalia; Rodentia; Chinchillidae
Description: lncRNA (ENSCLAG00000023908.1)
Source: RNAcentral